Molecule: ribosomal RNA, 410 nt
Filed under: uncultured bacterium
Lineage: Bacteria
Description: bacterial SSU rRNA
Rfam family: Bacterial small subunit ribosomal RNA
Source: RNAcentral
GUGCCAGCAGCCGCGGUAACACGUAAGGGGCAAGCGUUGUUCGGAAUUGUUGGGCGUAAAGGGCACGCAGGCGGUUUGGCAAGCUUGGUGUGAAAUACCGUAGCUUAACUACGGAAACGCGCUGAGAACUGCUAGACUUGAGUUCCGGAGAGGAAGCUGGAAUUCCGAGUGUAAGGGUGAAAUCUGUAGAUAUUCGGAAGAACAUCAGUGGCGAAGGCGAGCUUCUGGCCGGAGACUGACGCUGAGGUGCGAAAGCGUGGGGAGCGAACAGGAUUAGAUGCCCUGGUAGUCCACGCUGUAAACGAUGUGCACUAGGUGUUGGAUCGUCAAGAUUCAGUACCAUAGCUAACGCGUUAAGUGCACCGCCUGGGGAGUAUGCCCGCAAGGGUGAAACUCAAAUAAAUUGACGG